Molecule: ribosomal RNA, 303 nt
Filed under: uncultured bacterium
Lineage: Bacteria
Description: partial 16S ribosomal RNA
Rfam family: Bacterial small subunit ribosomal RNA
Source: RNAcentral
AGCAGUAGCCGCGGUAAUACGUAGGGUGCGAGCGUUAAUCGGAAUUACUGGGCGUAAGGCGCGCGUAGACGGUUUUGUAAGUCAGAUGUGAAAUCCCUGGGCUCAACCUGGGAACUGCAUUUGAUACUGCAUGGCUAGAGUAUCGAAGAGGGAAGUGGAAUUUCCGGUGUAGCGGUGAAAUGCGUAGAUAUCGGAAGGAACACCAGUGGCGAAAGCGACUUCCUGGUCGAAUACUGACGUUCAUGUGCGAAAGCGUGGGGAGCAAGCAGGAUUAGAUACCCGCGUAGUCCCUGUCUCUUAUAC